CGGCUGCAGUGGGGAAUUUUGGACAAUGGACGAAAGUCUGAUCCAGCCAUGCCGCGUGCGGGAAGAAGGCCUUCGGGUUGUAAACCGCUUUUGUCAGGGAAGAAAUCUUCUGGGUUAAUACCUCGGGAGGAUGACGGUACCUGAAGAAUAAGCACCGGCUAACUACGUGCCAGCAGCCGCGGUAAUACGUAGGGUGCAAGCGUUAAUCGGAAUUACUGGGCGUAAAGCGUGCGCAGGCGGUUAUGUAAGACAGAUGUGAAAUCCCCGGGCUCAACCUGGGAACUGCAUUUGUGACUGCAUAGCUUGAGUGCGGCAGAGGGGGAUGGAAUUCCGCGUGUAGCAGUGAAAUGCGUAGAUAUGCGGAGGAACACCGAUGGCGAAGGCAAUCCCCUGGGCCUGCACUGACGCUCAUGCACGAAAGCGUGGGGAGCAAACAGGAUUAGAUACCCUGGUAGUC
RNAcentral lists this ribosomal RNA (457 nucleotides) under uncultured Comamonadaceae bacterium. RNAcentral describes it as "bacterial SSU rRNA". It matches the Rfam family "Bacterial small subunit ribosomal RNA", at positions 346 to 795 of the family's 1533-position model. The record is from RNAcentral. Lineage: Bacteria; Pseudomonadati; Pseudomonadota; Betaproteobacteria; Burkholderiales; Comamonadaceae.